AUACAAAUAACAAUGUGAACUCUACCACCGGUUCCAAAAAAAAUCCACAGUCCUGAGAAGAACCGGCGAAACAAACUCAGCGUACCUUCCUAUGUGAAACGUUUUUUCUUUUUUCGUUUUAUAUCUAGUGUCAAGUCGUAUUUCACAAAAACGCUGAGAAUUUUGCCUCUUGAUUAACCAAUUGAAAACAAAUGUAAAUCCUUCGACAAUUGACGAUAUAAUAUUUAACUACCAUGACCAUGAGAUAAGGAGACGUAUAGGGAUGGCCAAAAAUGCAAUGUCCCAGCUGCAUAAGAUAUGGAGAGACCGUAACAUCACGCGAAAAACUAAAACCAAAUUGGUGAGUUCGCUAGUUUUCUCCAUAUUCAGUUAUGGCGCGGAGACCUGGACAAUGAAGAAGGCCGACAGAGACCGAAUAGACGCUUUUGAAAUGUGGUGUUGGAGAAAAAUGCUACAGAUUCCAUGGACCGCCUUUCGCACCAACGUGUCUAUUCUGAGAGAGCUUCAUAUCAAAGCCAGACUCUCCACUAUAUGCCUUCGUAGGGUGCUGGAAUUCUUCGGACAUAUUGCUCGUAAAGAGGGUCACAAUCUUGAACAGCUGAUGGUGACAGGAAAGGUAGAUGGCAAACGUCCCAGAGGACGCAGUCCCACGAGAUGGUCGGACCAAAUACGAUCUUCUCUGAGCAUCAAUUUCCAUAAUGCCCUUCAUGAAGCAAAGGAUCGCGGCAGAUGGAGGGAAGUCGUAUGGGAGAAACUGAUGCAGCGGGGGAGUCUCGACCCUCAGUAAUGAGGAAAACGACGCGAGGAGGAGGACCAUGACCACAGUUUUUCAAUAUUUCUGUUUUUUUUUUUAUCGGCAAGUUGCACUACUAGCCACUACAACCCUUAAAAAUCCCAAAUGCCCGUAGUUUAUACACAAAAAUCAAUCAAAAUAUACUUUUCUCGAUAAUUUUGAAUGAUUUUUACUUUAAAUUUUCGUGGGGUACAAAAAAUACGGACGAUAUUAUUGCAACUUUUAAAUUGACGUAACUAUCCAAGAUAUCAAAUGGUAUGAACACUCUAAGUAAACUAGACAACAAAAUAGUACUAUUUCUAAACAAGAAGUAAUUUAAUAAAUUGUCCUUGAUAGUAAUGUUUACUGUGCCAAAAUGAAUUAGUUGUUCUUGAAAAACGAAUUAAAACAAAUGGCACAAACGAUUUUACAUUUAUUGCAUUAUUAGACUUACAGUAAAUGAUCAAAUUGUUUGCCACCAGCAUUAAUACAGGCACGACUGCGACAUCGCCUUAAAAAAUAUCGUUAUAUUGUAGUAGUAACUCACAGCAAAGCGUGGCCCGGAUUCACUACUAAUAAAAAAAAAAAAGGAUCUCCAUUAUUUUUGGAUAUUUUAUUCGGGAUAAAUUACAUAUGUUUAAAACACAAGGUCAAUGUUAAAGUAUAUCCGACAUAUUCUUCUUUCAGUCAGAACCACUAUGUCUUGACGAUGCACUCGACGCUGACCCACUACGUGAACCCUGGGAAAUUAAAGAAAUUAUUUAAUCAAUAACAAUAUAUUCAAUCUUCUUGCCGCUCUACAACUAACAUAUCAGCAACAUGUAUUAAAUGAAUGAAUGAAUGAAAUCAUAAAUUAGAACAUAGGGUUCUAUUGUCAAAGACUGAUAUAUUUCUUCAAUCACAGAUUUCGACAAAUAAUAUUAAAGACAUACAGUAUUAAUCUA
Molecule: long non-coding RNA, 1716 nt
Organism: Bombyx mori (domestic silkworm)
Lineage: Eukaryota; Metazoa; Arthropoda; Insecta; Lepidoptera; Bombycidae
Exons: 2
Source: RefSeq, a predicted model, not a curated record